GCUCGUAGCGUCGGUCGCGUCGACUGUGAAACUCGGAGCUCACCCCGAGCCUGCAGUCGAUACGAGCAGACUAGAGUCCGCAGAGGAAGACUGGAAUUCCUGGUGUAGCGAUGAAAUGCGCAGAUAUCAGGAGGAACACCGGUGAGCGAAGACGAGUCUCUGAGCCCGGAACUGACGCUGAAGAAGCGAAAGCGUGAGGAGCGAACAGGAUUAGAUACCCUAGAUAGUCCACGCCGUAAACGUUGAGCGCUAGGUGUAGAGGGACCUUCCACGUUCUCCGUGCCGCAGCUAACGCAUUAAGCGCCCCGCCUGGGAGAGUACGGCCGCAAGGCUAAAACUCAAAGGAAUUGACAGGGGCCCGCACAAGCAGCGGAGCAUGUGGCUUAAUUCGACGCAACGCGAAGAACCUUACCAGGGUUUGACAUGCAGGGAAAUCCGGCAGAGAUGUCGGGUCCGCAAGGGUCCUGCACAGGUGGUGCAUGGCUGUCGUCAGCUCGUGUCGUGAGAUGUUGGGUUAAGUCCCGCAACGAGCGCAACCCUCGUCCUAUGUU
RNAcentral lists this ribosomal RNA (551 nucleotides) under uncultured bacterium. RNAcentral describes it as "bacterial SSU rRNA". It matches the Rfam family "Bacterial small subunit ribosomal RNA", at positions 567 to 1116 of the family's 1533-position model. The record is from RNAcentral.